AAUAAGUGUAGCAAACAUUAAUUUGUUAUAACUGAGAUAUUUACCGCAAAGAAGAAGCACAGGCUCUGGGGAGAAGGUGGAGUCAGCCGAAGUCCUCUCCUGAAUCUGAGCCACAGAUCACAGUCUUGUCAUAUGUGAUUUCUGGAUCUCCAUCUCUACUCGCCCCCACAGUCAGUAGCAUGCUGGGUUUGCAGUUGAAUUCUCAGGAUGCAGAAAACAGACAUGCAGCCCUCUAUAAUCUACUGUGAAGGUGUCUCAUCCACCCAUCUCUUCAUGGCAAACCCAUUUAUUGUGACUCUGCCAGACAGUUCAACAAUUCUAGCUCUGUUAACCACCCUGGUUUCAUUUUAAUGUCAACACCACUGCCCAGGACAUGGGAGUCUAGAAUUGAACCCAUUUGGCAGGAAAUGGGAUAAUGGAAGGAUUGUUCCAUAGAGCAUCACUACUACAACUAACUAUAAAUAAAGAUGAAUGGUUUCACCAGCUCAAAGGACU
This is a long non-coding RNA of Neofelis nebulosa (Clouded leopard), 495 nucleotides long. RefSeq lists it as uncharacterized. The transcript is spliced from 4 exons. Lineage: Eukaryota; Metazoa; Chordata; Mammalia; Carnivora; Felidae. The record is from RefSeq and is a predicted model, not a curated record.